GGGCUGUUAGCUCAGCCGGUAGAGCAGCGGACUUUUAAUCCGUUGGUCGCGGGUUCGAUUCCCGCACGGCCCACCA
Molecule: transfer RNA, 76 nt
Filed under: Syntrophus sp. SKADARSKE-3
Lineage: Bacteria; Pseudomonadati; Thermodesulfobacteriota; Syntrophia; Syntrophales; Syntrophaceae
Description: tRNA-Lys
Rfam family: tRNA
About the family: Transfer RNA (tRNA) molecules are approximately 80 nucleotides in length. Their secondary structure includes four short double-helical elements and three loops (D, anti-codon, and T loops).
Source: RNAcentral